GAUGAACGCUGGCGGCGUGCCUAAUACAUGCAAGUCGAACGGGGAGUAGCAAUACUCUUAGUGGCGAACGGGUGAGUAACGCGUUGGUACCUGCCCCGAAGCGGGGGAUAACGGACCGAAAGGUCCGCUAAUACCCCAUGUGCUCGGUAACGAGUAAAGGUGAAAACCACUUUGGGAGGGGCCUGCGUCCCAUCAGCUAGUUGGUAAGGUAACGGCUUACCAAGGCGAUGACGGGUAGGGGACCUGAGAGGGUGGCCCCCCACAAUGGAACUGAGACACGGUCCAUACACCUACGGGUGGCAGCAGUAGUGAAUAUUGGUAAUGGGCGCAAGCCUGAACCAGCAACGCCGCGUGUGCGAUGACGGCCUUCGGGUUGUAAAGCACUUUUGACUGGGGCGAGGAAGGACGGUACCGGUCGAAUCAGCCUCGGCUAACUACGUG
This 441-nucleotide ribosomal RNA is filed under the name uncultured bacterium. Its description in RNAcentral is "partial 16S ribosomal RNA". It matches the Rfam family "Bacterial small subunit ribosomal RNA", at positions 28 to 507 of the family's 1533-position model. The record is from RNAcentral.